Molecule: ribosomal RNA, 156 nt
Filed under: Triticum aestivum (bread wheat)
Lineage: Eukaryota; Viridiplantae; Streptophyta; Magnoliopsida; Poales; Poaceae
Description: partial small subunit ribosomal RNA
Source: RNAcentral
UUUUUGAUUUUGAUAUCGAUUUUGAUACAUAUAAGGUGUCCUACGGAUAAUGCAAAUCGAAGCUAUUUGAUGUCUGACUCAGGCCUAUAUGACCGAUCGAUCGAAAUACUCCAAGACUCCACCUUUGUCAUAUAUUCCAUAUAUCACAUUAGAUAG